This 453-nucleotide ribosomal RNA is filed under the name uncultured bacterium. RNAcentral describes it as "bacterial SSU rRNA". It matches the Rfam family "Bacterial small subunit ribosomal RNA", at positions 340 to 786 of the family's 1533-position model. The record is from RNAcentral.
UACGGAAGGCAGCAGUGGGGAAUAUUGCACAAUGGGCGCAAGCCUGAUGCAGCCAUGCCGCGUGUAUGAAGAAGGCCUUCGGGUUGUAAAGUACUUUCAGUCGUGAGGAAGGUGUUAAGGUUAAUAACCUUAGCAAUUGACGUUAGCGACAGAAGAAGCACCGGCUAACUCCGUGCCAGCAGCCGCGGUAAUACGGAGGGUGCGAGCGUUAAUCGGAAUUACUGGGCGUAAAGGGCACGCAGGCGGUUAAUUAAGUUGGAUGUGAAAUCCCCGGGCUUAACCUGGGAAUGGCAUUCAAGACUGGUUAGCUAGAGUCUUGUAGAGGGGGUAGAAUUCCAUGUGUAGCGGUGAGAUGCGUAGAGAUGUGGAGGAAUACCGGUGGCGAAGGCGGCCCCUGGGACAAAGACUGACGCUCAUGUGCGAAAGCGUGGGGAGCAAACAGGAUUAGAUACC